ACCGGCCACACUGGGAUUGAGAUACGGCCCAGACUCCUACGGGGGGCAGCAGUCUAGAAGCUUCGACAAUGGGGGAAACCCUGAUCGAGCGACGCCGCGUGCAGGAUGAAGGUCUUCGGAUCGUAAACUGCUUUCGCCGGAGAAGAAAGGCUCUGCGGUUAAUAUCCGCAGUGUCUGACGGUAUUUGGUAAAGAAGCCCCGGCUAAGUCCGUGCCAGCAGCCGCGGUAAUACGGGCGGGGCAAGCGUUGUUCGGAUUUAUUGGGUGUAAAGGGUGCGCAGGCGGUCGACUAAGUCGAAGGUGAAAUUUCUACGGCUCAACCGAGGAACUGCCUCCGAUACUGAUCGACUUGAGUGCGGAAGGGGAGCGUGGAAUUCCUGGUGUAGCGGUGAAAUGCGUAGAUAUCAGGAGGAACACCCGUGGCGAAGGCGACGCUCUGGUCCGUAACUGACGCUCAUGCACGAAAGCCAGGGGAGCGAACGGGAUUAGAUACCCCGGUAGUCCUGGCUGUAAACGUUGGGCACUAGGUGUGGGGGGUAUCGACCCCCCCCGUGCCGUAGCUAACGCAUUAAGUGCCUCACCUGGGGAGUACGACCGCAAGGUUGAAACUCAAAGGAAUUGACGGGGGCCCGCACAAGCGGUGGAUUAUGCGGUUUAAUUCGAGGCAACGCGAAGAACCUUACCCGGGCUUGACAUCACCAAAAGGAUCUAUGGCCGCCAGAGAUGGCGGUCUUAGGAAGACAGGUGUUGCAUGGCUGUCGUCAGCUCGUGUCGCGAGAUGUUGGGUUAAGUCCCGCAACGAGCGCAACCCCUAUCGUCAGUUACCAGCGGGUAAACCGGGGACUCUGGCGAAACUGCCGCCGACAAGGUGGAGGAAGGUGGGGAUGACGUCAAGUCAGCAUGGCCCUUACGUCCGGGGCUACACGCGUAAUACAAUGGCUGGUACAGAGGGCUGCAAGACCGCAAGGUGGAGCGAAUCCCACAAACCCAGCCCCAGUUCAGAUUGGGGUCUGCAACUCGACCCCAUGAAGUCGGAAUCGCUAGUAAUCGUAGAUCGGCACGCUACGGUGAAUACGUUCCCGGGCCUUGUACACACCGCCCGUCACAUGACUCGAGUCGUCUGCACCCGAAGCCGGUCACCCAACCCGUAAGGGAGGGAGCUGUCCACGGUGUGGAGGGUAAGAGGGAUGAAGUCGUAACAAGGUA
This 1205-nucleotide ribosomal RNA is filed under the name metagenome. RNAcentral's name for it is "bacterial SSU rRNA". It matches the Rfam family "Bacterial small subunit ribosomal RNA", at positions 303 to 1498 of the family's 1533-position model. The record is from RNAcentral.